AACUGUUGCUUGGCUCCGCUGUAGCUUAACUAGCUCCGUUUAUUAGCGGUGUUCCUGAAGUUCUCCGUCUACAUUUUGUGAACUUUGAACUCGGUGAAGCUCAUGUCCAGCUCGGUUUUCCUCCCAGGAAUUCAGGUAAAAACCAAAAAGAACUAAAAUAUUUUCCUUCAACGAAGACGGAGCCGCUCGAAUUUCUGUUGCUUCCUCUUUGUUUCUUUCUGCCUCGUGUAAGUUUCUGUACCGUCUCCAUGGCAACGCCAGGACUCCCGCUUAGUUACAAGAUGGAAGCCAACAGAGAGGCGGUUUGUUUUAUUUUUUAAAAUGAAUAUUAGGACGUUAUAAUGAUUCUGAAUCAAUCUUUUGGCACACUGCUGGUAAAAACAAUCCAUUCUGAAGAAAUGCAGAGAGCAUUUUAUCAAACUGCUGCUUUAUGCUCAGUUUUCCAUGAAGCAUCUCUGUGUGUGUGUAUGUGUGUGUUACUCAGCACACACACACACUGGGCACAGAGACACACCCAGACUUCACUAAUCUGCCACUUAAAUCUCAGGAAGCUUUAAAGCUUUAUCCAGCUGCUUCCUGUUUCUCUCAGUCUGGCCUCAAAUCUUUCGCUUCUGUUUUUGGUGAUGAAGAUGCUUUUUUUUAAAUCGGUUCAGUCCUUCGCUUUCCUUCACAGUCAUCUCACAGCUGAACCCAACAGAACCUGAGCGUUACUGGAACUCUGAACACUUUAUUAGGUACACCUACCGGGAAUCGAGCUGGAAACUUGACUUAUUCGUACUGGAUGUUGAAUCAAACUGAAAUGCUUUGGCCCAGUUCGCCAUGGCAGCAUCCAAACAGUGCGA
Poecilia latipinna (sailfin molly) is the source of this 842-nucleotide long non-coding RNA. RefSeq lists it as uncharacterized. The transcript is spliced from 3 exons. The record is from RefSeq and is a predicted model, not a curated record. Lineage: Eukaryota; Metazoa; Chordata; Actinopteri; Cyprinodontiformes; Poeciliidae.